UGGGGAUAUUGCACAAUGGAGGAAACUCUGAUGCAGCGACGCCGCGUGAGUGAAGAAGUAUUUCGGUAUGUAAAGCUCUAUCAGCAGGGAAGAUAAUGACAGUACCUGACUAAGAAGCCCCGGCUAACUACGUGCCAGCAGCCGCGGUAAUACGUAGGGGCGAGCGUUGUCCGGAAUUACUGGGCGUAAAGGGUGCGUAGGCGGUUUGGUAAGUUGGAUGUGAAAUACCCGGGCUUAACUUGGGGGCUGCAUCCAAUACUGUCGGACUUGAGUGCAGGAGAGGAAAGCGGAAUUCCUAGUGUAGCGGUGAAAUGCGUAGAUAUUAGGAGGAACACCGGUGGCGAAGGCGGCUUUCUGGACUGUAACUGACGCUGAGGCACGAAAGCGUGGGGAGCAAACAGGAUUAGAUACCCUGGUAGU
Molecule: ribosomal RNA, 420 nt
Filed under: uncultured Anaerostipes sp.
Lineage: Bacteria; Bacillati; Bacillota; Clostridia; Lachnospirales; Lachnospiraceae
Description: bacterial SSU rRNA
Rfam family: Bacterial small subunit ribosomal RNA
Source: RNAcentral